RNAcentral lists this transfer RNA (70 nucleotides) under Dipodomys ordii (Ord's kangaroo rat). It matches the Rfam family "tRNA". From Rfam's summary of the family: Transfer RNA (tRNA) molecules are approximately 80 nucleotides in length. Their secondary structure includes four short double-helical elements and three loops (D, anti-codon, and T loops). Lineage: Eukaryota; Metazoa; Chordata; Mammalia; Rodentia; Heteromyidae. The record is from Rfam by way of RNAcentral.
GGGAAUGUGGCUUAGUGGUAGAGUGCUUGCCUAGCACACAUGAAACUCUGGGUUCAAUUCCUCAGUACCA